GUGAAUCAUCGAAUCUUUGAACGCAAAUUGCGCCUUUUUCCGAAGGCAUGUCUGUUUGAGGGCACCAUUUAACAAAUAAUGUGCAUUUUGUUGUGCACACGUUGAUGAGCUUUCCAAAAUUAUGUAUUAUUUUUGGUGGCGCAUAAUAAACAGCGCGAUGCUUUUUUUCAGUUCGAGUGAAGAAAAAUUUUUUUUUCCUCGGGUCGUGAAAAGCCAGAUUGAUCAGUGGG
RNAcentral lists this unclassified non-coding RNA (230 nucleotides) under Paraglomus occultum. Its description in RNAcentral is "partial contains 5.8S ribosomal RNA and internal transcribed spacer 2". The stretch from base 1 to 65 matches the Rfam family "5.8S ribosomal RNA", at positions 84 to 154 of the family's 154-position model. Lineage: Eukaryota; Fungi; Glomeromycota; Glomeromycetes; Paraglomerales; Paraglomeraceae. The record is from RNAcentral.